GGCCUUGUACACACCGCCCGUCACACCAUGAGAGUUGGCAACACCCGAAGUCAGUAGUCUAACCGCAAGGAGGACGCUGCCGAAGGUGGGGUUGAUGAUUGGGGUGAAGUCGUAACAAGGUAGCCGUAUCGGAAGGUGCGGCUGGAUCACCUCCUUUCUAAGGAGA
Molecule: ribosomal RNA, 166 nt
Filed under: Ignavibacteria bacterium
Lineage: Bacteria; Pseudomonadati; Ignavibacteriota; Ignavibacteria
Description: partial 16S ribosomal RNA
Rfam family: Bacterial small subunit ribosomal RNA
Source: RNAcentral